RNAcentral lists this ribosomal RNA (147 nucleotides) under uncultured Pedobacter sp. Its description in RNAcentral is "partial 16S ribosomal RNA". It matches the Rfam family "Bacterial small subunit ribosomal RNA", at positions 385 to 527 of the family's 1533-position model. Lineage: Bacteria; Pseudomonadati; Bacteroidota; Sphingobacteriia; Sphingobacteriales; Sphingobacteriaceae. The record is from RNAcentral.
GAACCAGCAUGCCGCGUGCAGGAAGACGGCCCUCUGGGUUGUAAACUGCUUUUAUUCGGGAAUAAACCUACUUACGUGUAAGUAGCUGAAUGUACCGAAGGAAUAAGGAUCGGCUAACUCCGUGCCAGCAGCCCGCGGUAAUANNCU